GCAGAUAGUUUAAAUUAAAAUGAUUUAUUUACACUAAUUUGUUCACAUAAUGUUUGUA
This 58-nucleotide transfer RNA is filed under the name Strigamia maritima. Its description in RNAcentral is "tRNA-Val". Lineage: Eukaryota; Metazoa; Arthropoda; Chilopoda; Geophilomorpha; Linotaeniidae. The record is from RNAcentral.